RNAcentral lists this ribosomal RNA (390 nucleotides) under Eukaryota sp. RNAcentral describes it as "SSU rRNA". It matches the Rfam family "Eukaryotic small subunit ribosomal RNA", at positions 828 to 1218 of the family's 1831-position model. The record is from RNAcentral.
CUGCUGUCUUAUUUUGUUGGUUUCUAAGACACAGUAAUGAUUAAUAGGGAUAGUUGGGGGUGUUAAUACUUCAUAGUCAGAGGUGAAAUUCUUGGAUUUAUGAAAGAUUAACUUCUGCGAAAGCAUUCACCAAGGAUGUUUUCAUUAAUCAAGAACGAAAGUGUGGGGAUCGAAGGCGAUUAGAAACCGCCCUAGUCUACACCAUAAACGAUGCCAACUCGGGAUUGGAGGAAGAAUCUUUUCAAUAUCCUUCAGCACCGUAUGAGAAAUCAAAGUUUUCGGGUUCUGGGGGGAGUAUGGUCGCAAGGCUGAAACUUGAAGAAAUUGACGGAAGGGCACCACCAGGUGUGGAACAUGCGGCUCAAUUUGACUCAACACGGGGAAACUCAC